GAUGAACGCUAGCGGCAGGCUUAACACAUGCAAGUCGAGGGGCAGCAAGGGUAGCAAUACCUGUUGGCGACCGGCAAACGGGUGCGGAACACGUACACAACAUACCUUUUACUGGAGCAUAGCCCGUUGAAAAGCGGAUUAACACUCCAUAAUAUAGCAGAGUGGCAUCACUUAGUUAUUAAAAAUUUAUUGGUAAGAGAUUGGUGUGCGUCCUAUUAGCUAGUUGGUAGGGAACGGCCUACCAAGGCGACGAUAGGUAGCUGGUGUGAGAGCACGACCAGCCACACGGGCACUGAGACACGGGCCCGACUCCUACGGGAGGCAGCAGUGAGGAAUAUUGGUCAAUGGACGAGAGUCUGAACCAGCCAUGCCGCGUGAAGGAUGAAGG
RNAcentral lists this ribosomal RNA (388 nucleotides) under uncultured bacterium. RNAcentral describes it as "bacterial SSU rRNA". It matches the Rfam family "Bacterial small subunit ribosomal RNA", at positions 28 to 414 of the family's 1533-position model. The record is from RNAcentral.